UUCGGGGCUCUUUGGUGAUUCAUGAUAACUUUACGGAUCGCAUAGCCUUGCGCUGGCGACGGUUCAUUCAAAUUUCUGCCCUAUCAACUUUCGAUGGUAAGGUAUUGGCUUACCAUGGUUUCAACGGGUAACGGGGAAUUAGGGUUCGAUUCCGGAGAGGGAGCCUGAGAAACGGCUACCACAUCCAAGGAAGGCAGCAGGCGCGCAAAUUACCCAAUCCCGACACGGGGAGGUAGUGACAAUAAAUACUGAUACAGGGCUCUUUUGGGUCUUGUAAUUGGAAUGAGUACAAUUUAAACCUCUUAACGAGGAACAAUUGGAGGGCAAGUCUGGUGCCAGCAGCCGCGGUAAUUCCAGCUCCAAUAGCGUAUAUUAAAGUUGUUGCAGUUAAAAAGCUCGUAGUUGAAACUUGGGCCUGGCUGGCGGGUCCGCCUCACCGCGUGCACUCGUCCGGCCGGGCCUUCCUUCUGAAGAACCUCAUGCCCUUCACUGGGCGUGUUGGGGAAUCAGGACUUUUACUUUGAAAAAAUUAGAGUGUUCAAAGCAGGCCUUUGCUCGAAUACGUUAGCAUGGAAUAAUAAAAUAGGGCGUGCGUUUCUAUUUUGUUGGUUUCUAGAGACGCCGCAAUGAUUAACAGGAACAGUCGGGGGCAUCAGUAUUCAGUUGUCAGAGGUGAAAUUCUUGGAUUUACUGAAGACUAACUACUGCGAAAGCAUUUGCCAAGGAUGUUUUCAUUAAUCAGUGAACGAAAGUUAGGGGAUCGAAGACGAUCAGAUACCGUCGUAGUCUUAACCGUAAACUAUGCCGACUAGGGAUCGGGCGAUGUUCUUUUUCUGACUCGCUCGGCACCUUACGAGAAAUCAAAGUUU
RNAcentral lists this ribosomal RNA (869 nucleotides) under Curvularia spicifera. RNAcentral describes it as "SSU rRNA". It matches the Rfam family "Eukaryotic small subunit ribosomal RNA", at positions 232 to 1106 of the family's 1831-position model. The record is from RNAcentral. Lineage: Eukaryota; Fungi; Ascomycota; Dothideomycetes; Pleosporales; Pleosporaceae.